GUUGUAGGUUUAUUAUAUUAACUUAAUGUGACUUGGGGUUUUUUUUUAAAUUUUUAUUUAUUUAGCUAUGAUUAUUUUUUUAAAAUAAUUUUAAAUAAAAAUAUUUGUUUUAUCUAGUUAGUAGAAUGAAACCAUGUUUGCAACUUUCUAAUACUAACAAUUUUAUCUUUUAAAAUUAGCUUUGUUGGGCUUGAUUUUUUACUGGGC
This 207-nucleotide long non-coding RNA is filed under the name Populus tremula. Its description in RNAcentral is "long non-coding RNA (PTRE_LNC000717)". Lineage: Eukaryota; Viridiplantae; Streptophyta; Magnoliopsida; Malpighiales; Salicaceae. The record is from RNAcentral.